AUGGGGAGUACGAACGCAAGGCUGAAAAUCAAGGGAAUUGACUGGGACCAGCACAGGCGGCGGKGCAUGUGGUUUAAUUCGAGGCAACGCGAGGCACCUUGCCKKGUCUUGACAUCCUCUGACAAUCUGAGAGAUCGACUUUCCUUCGGGGACAGUGAGACGGGUGGUGCAUGGUUGUCGUCKGCUCGUGUCGUGUGUUGUUGGGUUGAGUCCCGCGACGAGCGCAACBCCUGUGGUUAGUUGCCAUCAUUUUGUUGGGCACUCUAAGCUGACUGCCGUGGAUAACACGGUGGAKGGUGGGGACGACGUCAAAUCKUCAUGCKCCUUAUGKCCUGGGCUACACACGUGCUACAUUGGUCUGAACKGGKGGCUGCGAAACCGCGUGGUGAAGCUUAUCCCUUAAAACKGUUCUCUGUUUGGUUUGCUGGCUGCUAKUKGCCUGCAUGAGGUUGGAAUCGCUKGUAGUCCBKGKUCUGCAUGCCGGGGUGAAUACGUUBCCGGGCCUUGUACACUCCGCCCGUCACUCCACGAAAGUCGGUUUACCUGAAGUCGCCGGUCUAABCCUUGGKKGUUGGKGCUAGGUGGGUGUGUGGGGGGUGUGGGGUGUGUGUGGAGUC
This 617-nucleotide ribosomal RNA is filed under the name uncultured bacterium. RNAcentral's name for it is "partial 16S ribosomal RNA". It matches the Rfam family "Bacterial small subunit ribosomal RNA", at positions 874 to 1484 of the family's 1533-position model. The record is from RNAcentral.